This is a long non-coding RNA of Cyprinus carpio carpio, 3143 nucleotides long. The record is from Ensembl. NCBI's taxonomy places the organism in Eukaryota, Metazoa, Chordata, Actinopteri, Cypriniformes, Cyprinidae.
UUUUAAGGGUGGGAUUGUUAUGUGGGAGUGUUUUAAUCUGUGUUUCAUUGCAGUUUCCCUGGUCACUCUCCUGCAAUUAACAGGUUAAUUGGAUCCACCUGAAGGGAGUCACUUUAAAUCUAGGACACAUGCUCUUGCUCUCUCUCUCGUUUUGCAGCCAGCACUGCGGUAGCAGUGUUUCUGCUUCUUCAGUCCCUUUUUUUUCCCUUUUGUUAUUAAAAUAAACUUAUUUUGAUUGGCAUACUUUUGUUUUGUGUCCUUUAUGUUGCAUCCCUAGAGCCAGGGUUGUAACAAUCAGUUAAAAAAUGGUUUUAAGUCAGUUAUUUCUAUCGUCUCCAAGAUGUGGAAAACACACUCAAAGGGCUCCUAUGAAGUCAUCGUGUGAAACACUGCCCAAAGCCACUAGAAGGCAAGCCUACAACCUUUAGUCAAAAAAAGCGCAACGGCUAAUGCUAACGGAAUGGAGACCAGAGGCCUUUAUACAGACAGACCCAGUCAGCUCCCAAUAGUAAGACAAUCUCUGCUGAAAGCUGAUCUCAGACUGGAGUCAGACAGAGGCGUUUAUCCCGACAGGAGUUUGUUCCGCUGGAUCAACACUGCCACCUACAGAACGCUGUUCAGGUCAUUAUUUUUUCUCACAUUGAGUGAAACGACUCACUGUGACCCGUUACUUGAUUAACCCAAGUGGAUGCUUUAGAUCCACACAUCUGACAAAUGAGAAGGUAAAGCAAAUAUGUGUCAUGUGUAUGGUACUGUAUCUGUGUGUGAGUGUGUGUGUGUGUGUGUGUGUGUGUGUGAGAGAGAGAGAGAGAGAGAGAGAGAGAGUGUUUGUGUGUGUGUGUGUGUGUGUGUGUGUGUGUGUGUGUGUGUGUGUGUGAGAGAGAGAGAGAGAGAGAGAGAGAGUGUGUGUGUGUGUGUGUGUGUGUGUGUGUGUGUGUGUGUGUGUGUGUACUUGUAUUUCUUACUUUGUGGGUCCCAGUGACCAGGAGCACACCAACGGUAUGGGGUCCAACAACGUUGUGGGGCCCGAAAUUGUGGGCCCCACACCGAUUUCAACGUAAACUGCCUCAGUAGCCUCUGCUGAUAUGCCUCAUGCUUUUUUUUCACUUUCCCCACAAAGUGAUAAAAACCAGUUUUGAGUGUGUAUGUGUGUAUGCUCUCUAUCGCCCCUGUAGCUGGGAACGUGGUAUUGCAGCAGAUACACACUACCGGAUGUGUGUGUGGCUUUAGCCAAUGAGAAAGGCCCACGGAGAGGGAGGGAGGAGCCGUGUAGUUUUAUUGGAUGCGCCCACGCACACUGUUUCUGGGUUUUAAUCUUCAAUUCCUCAUGUUUUGACUGUUUCAACGGAAAAAAAAACACUUCAUGUAGACUAAGCAACAGGUUGCUGUAAUCCUAUAGUAUUUAACUAAACAUUUGAUAUAGUUCCAUGUGAAUUUCUAGUCGUGUGAACAGAAUAAUUCUUAAUGAAGUAAGGUUUUAAUCAGAUGGCUAACAUUAGCUGCUAAAAGCCCACGGACACGGCAUUUUAAACCGGAAGUUCCACGCGCUUCGACUCUGAUCAUCACGGCACAGCACUCUUCAUGUGAGAAGCAGCACCAUAAUGUUGAAAAGGAAGACCAGGAUCCGGCCUGUUGAUGAUGCCAGGACACACAUUCAGUCUUUGAGGGACAAGCCUGAGUUUAUGGAACGAUUUAUCGAUAAUAACAAAGUAUUGAUGCAUCCAAAGAAGACGGUUCUCUUGGAAGAUUGAUUAAUGACAACCACAAAUCUCCAAACUGCACCAUGAAAAAAAUCAUAGUAAACGACACGCCACAUUUGUGUCUAUUUGCUGUGAAGAAAAUUGAAAUAGGAAGUGAAAUCGAAUACAACUACGGUGAUUCACAAUGGCCGUGGCGUAAAAAGGAGCCAAAGCAGCAGACUUCUGUUAUAGAGACCAAAACAUCCCUAACAGAUCACUCUUCCCAUGAUGCCUCCAACAAAGAUGCUGUCGUCACGCAGGAGCCAAAGCAGCAGACUUCUGUUAUAGAGACCAAAACAUCCCUAACAGAUCACUCUUCCCAUGAUGCCUCCAACAAAGAUGCUGUCGUCACGCAGGAGCCAAAGCAGGUAUUUACCAUCAAAGGGUUUUCUCUAGUGAACUAUACCGAAAGUGAUGAGACGGAUGAGUAUAUUAAAGACAACCCUCCCAGUCCACACUGUGAUGUUGUUCGAAAGAAGACGAGGAAUGGAAACAUUCAGGUGAUUGGAGUAGCUGAUUUUUCUGAUCCUCUGAUUGACUCAAAUGAGAGUAUAGUAGAUGAAACUGAUGAGGAUUCUAGUCUGCAGUCAGACAAUGAAGUUGUUCCAAAAAAAUCUUUUGAUGGAUAGAGUACCAAAUUGUUCUGUUCCUCUUAAUGAGUCAAGUGAUGACAGCAUAGAUGAGCCUUCCACUCCUAUGUCUGGAAUGGCUUCACAAAGGCCGAGGAGAAACUGUCACCGUCCUAUUCAAAGGAGUCUUGUAGAAUCCAGAAGUACAGGAGCCUGAAGUUGAGGACAGUGUGGCUUCCACACAGGAACCUACUUCCACGCUGCAUUCCCAAUACCAGAGAAAGUCGGCAAAAAAGACAGGUAAAGAAACUGCUGUCAAAAGAAGCUGGACAACAGAUGAAUGUGCGGCAGUAGAAAGGCACCUAAGGAAAUUCAUUGUGAGGAGCCAAGUUCCAGGGAAAAAGGACUGUCAGCGCUGCGUUGAUGCAGAAGCUCAAGCUUUAGGAAAUCGAGACUGGAAGGCGGUAAAAUACUUCAUCAAAAAUCGUAUUUCUGCCAUAAGAAGGAAAGUACAGUGAAAUACAGGUAGCUCAACGUAUUGGAUGCCUUCCCACUAGCAUUCACAUCGGGACAUGUUCUAAGUGUUUUCAACAGUUGAAAUUUAGUUGUUCUUUAUUGUAUUAUCCUCUUAAAGGGUUAGUUGUCACCAUUUACUCUUAUUUGUCAUUUCAAACCCAUAAGAAAUUAGUUCAUCUUUGGAACACAAAAUAUGUUUUGAAUGUUUCCUCCAUUGUUUGCAUUGCCGCUCUGUCCAUUACUUGAGGGGUUCCGAUUGCAUUAGGCAGUUUGUGAAUGAAUGUGAUGACAUCAAACACCCCAAAGCGCUAACCUCAAC